GGCCCUGGGGUUUUAUCACGUGGGGUUGCAAACCCUAAGACGCAGGUUAACGCCUGCCGGGGCUU
This 65-nucleotide transfer RNA is filed under the name Rana cf. chensinensis QYCRCCH_C. Its description in RNAcentral is "tRNA-Cys". It matches the Rfam family "tRNA". From Rfam's summary of the family: Transfer RNA (tRNA) molecules are approximately 80 nucleotides in length. Their secondary structure includes four short double-helical elements and three loops (D, anti-codon, and T loops). Further hydrogen bonds mediate the characteristic L-shaped molecular structure. tRNAs have two regions of fundamental functional importance: the anti-codon, which is responsible for specific mRNA codon recognition, and the 3' end, to which the tRNAs corresponding amino acid is attached (by aminoacyl-tRNA synthetases). tRNAs cope with the degeneracy of the genetic code in two manners: having more than one tRNA (with a specific anti-codon) for a particular amino acid; and 'wobble' base-pairing, i.e. permitting non-standard base-pairing at the 3rd anti-codon position. The record is from RNAcentral. Lineage: Eukaryota; Metazoa; Chordata; Amphibia; Anura; Ranidae.